UACAGAGGGUGCAAGCGUUAAUCGGAAUUACUGGGCGUAAAGCGUGCGUAGACGGUUAUGUAAGUCGGGUGUGAGAGCCCCGGGCUCAACCUGGGAAUUGCAUUCGAGACUGCAUAGCUAGGGUGCGGAAGAGGGAAGCGGAAUUUCCGGUGUAGCGGUGAAAUGCGUAGAUAUCGGAAGGAACACCAGUGGCGAAAGCGGCUUCCUGGUCCAGCACCGACGUUCAGGCACGAAAGCGUGGGGAGCAAACAGG
This 253-nucleotide ribosomal RNA is filed under the name uncultured bacterium. RNAcentral describes it as "partial 16S ribosomal RNA". It matches the Rfam family "Bacterial small subunit ribosomal RNA", at positions 524 to 776 of the family's 1533-position model. The record is from RNAcentral.